UGCCCUGUUGUAUCCUCAGAGUGGGUGCUGC
Molecule: non-coding RNA, 31 nt
Filed under: Rattus norvegicus (Norway rat)
Lineage: Eukaryota; Metazoa; Chordata; Mammalia; Rodentia; Muridae
Source: RNAcentral